CAGAUAGCUCCACAAUUCUUUCUUUGAGGAAUAAUCCAUAAAUAGCACUCAAUCAGUAUUGUACUAUGUGAAGACUCUUUCUAUAUGCAAUAUCCUACCAUUGUAUUCGUGACAUUAAA
Molecule: long non-coding RNA, 119 nt
Organism: Populus euphratica (Euphrates poplar)
Lineage: Eukaryota; Viridiplantae; Streptophyta; Magnoliopsida; Malpighiales; Salicaceae
Exons: 2
Source: RefSeq, a predicted model, not a curated record